UUCGUGCACCAGCUGCUGUUUACAAAAAUACAUAGACUGCCGCCUCUUGUCUUACCAGACGCCGCUGUUCUAUCCUGCCGGUACAUCGUAUAACCAGCCAUUAUGUGUGAGAUGAGUGUUUCUUAGAUGUUUGUGUGUGUGUUGGGUUUGUGUGUGAUUUAUUUAGGCGUUCAUUGCUUCUGUGUGUUUGUAUAUGUCUUAUAUGCAUUGCCAUUUUGUCGCUGAUGGCAUCUCUUAAAUGUAUCCCAGUUUUUCACCUCAGUCUAUCUCAUCCAGGGCCGUGGAGAUGGAGGUUGCCCCCUCCUCAGGAAGAAGCUGGGUUACCUGCGUCAAGAGAACGACUCCCUGGAGAACAGACAGCUCAUUAGGGACCUGGAGGUGGCCCAGAUUGAACUGAGCAGCUCCAAGACCAAGGUCUGUCUCCUGGGCUCCACAGUAGGGGCUAAGACCUCCAGUGUGACUGUCACGAGAUAACAGAUCCUGGGCUUGGAGGCCGAUGUAGAGGCCCAAGCCAAAGAACUCCGUGAGCUGAAGGACGAGGUCACCCAGGCACGAACACAGGCCGCCGAGGUCCAGGGACGUCUGGAGGAGGCUGCCCAGCAGUCCUCGCGGCUGGGAUGGAGCUGGGCGAGUGGGCCUUGGCAGCCAGGGAGCUGGCCUCUCCACAGGGAGACGGAGCACAGUGCCAGGAACACAGGCUGGCCCGGUGCCGGAGAGAGAACCAGUAGAGCCAGGCUGAAUGAGCUAGUCUGGAGAACAUACUGAGUCUGAGAGGUAUGGAAUAGUCUCACACACAUUAUAUAUACAAAACUAUGUGAACACCCCUUAAAAUUAGUGGAUUUGGC
Molecule: non-coding RNA, 845 nt
Organism: Salmo salar (Atlantic salmon)
Lineage: Eukaryota; Metazoa; Chordata; Actinopteri; Salmoniformes; Salmonidae
Source: RefSeq, a predicted model, not a curated record